GGGCAGAAAGUGCCAAUUUACCAGUUCACCAAGGGAAUGUGUGGACUCGCAGUGCAAAGUUAUCUCCCUAAAGUGCAGGCUUCUUUUAAUAGCCUAAUUCGUGUUCCCAGCUUGGGUCCACUCAGUCCAGCCUCAGUUAUGUUUUUAAGUCAGGGGGGAAGUGUGCUGUGAGACUGCAGGGAAGGGAUAAAACUCGCCAUUUCACAUU
Molecule: long non-coding RNA, 208 nt
Organism: Lacerta agilis (Sand lizard)
Lineage: Eukaryota; Metazoa; Chordata; Lepidosauria; Squamata; Lacertidae
Exons: 2
Source: RefSeq, a predicted model, not a curated record